This 373-nucleotide ribosomal RNA is filed under the name uncultured Holophagae bacterium. RNAcentral describes it as "bacterial SSU rRNA". It matches the Rfam family "Bacterial small subunit ribosomal RNA", at positions 1010 to 1382 of the family's 1533-position model. Lineage: Bacteria; Pseudomonadati; Acidobacteriota; Holophagae. The record is from RNAcentral.
GAUCCCCUCUUCGGAGGUCUGUGUAGAGGUGCUGCAUGGCUGUCGUCAGCUCGUGUCGUGAGAUGUUGGGUUAAGUCCCGCAACGAGCGCAACCCUUGUUCACAGUUACUAACGCGUGAUGGCGAGAACUCUGUGGAGACUGCCGGUGAUAAACCGGAGGAAGGUGGGGAUGACGUCAAGUCCUCAUGGCCUUUAUGUCCAGGGCUACACACGUGCUACAAUGGACGGUACAGAGAGUCGCGAGACCGCGAGGUGGAGCUAAUCUCAAAAAGCCGUUCUCAGUUCGGAUUGCACUCUGCAACUCGAGUGCAUGAAGUUGGAAUCGCUAGUAAUCGCGGAUCAGCACGCCGCGGUGAAUACGUUCCCGGGCCUU